Molecule: long non-coding RNA, 400 nt
Filed under: Eurytemora carolleeae
Lineage: Eukaryota; Metazoa; Arthropoda; Copepoda; Calanoida; Temoridae
Description: uncharacterized LOC111708265
Source: RNAcentral
CUGGUGAAUUAUAGCUGAAAUUGUGAUAAAGUUACGCAUCUAUUUUGUAUCAAAAAUAGCCGAUAAUUGUUUGUGAAAAUUUUCAGAUGUCGUCAAAUAUUUUUUCUGAGGUACUAUGGAAUGGAAUUUUAGGCGAUGAAGAAGAGAGGGGACCCGAAAUGUCCAAUAUUAUAAACGGUCUGUCAGUGCCAAUCAAAGCUCCAACAUGUAUAAUACAGAGCUGCAAUCCAAGAGUAUGAGGAUCACGGUUUAGAUUUCCAGCAAGAAAAAAAUUGUGGCUGAAGGCCCUUCAUUUAAAUCAAGAGUAUAUCACAGUAAAAGAUCCAAGAGUAUGUGAAAAACAUUUCAAACCCUCUGAUUUUAAAAGUAAUUUAUAGUAUAAUAAAUAUUACGACGUUAA